RNAcentral lists this long non-coding RNA (367 nucleotides) under Carica papaya (papaya). Its description in RNAcentral is "long non-coding RNA (CPAP_LNC007847)". The record is from RNAcentral. Lineage: Eukaryota; Viridiplantae; Streptophyta; Magnoliopsida; Brassicales; Caricaceae.
AUUCUAUCAGGUUUACACUCAAUUUUUUAUUUGCUAUCUCUACAUCAUAAGCCCUAUAGACAACUUCUUCCAAUAGUGUUACACUCCCAGCAGUAGAUACAAAUAACAUUGAAUCAAGUUUAUCAGGUAAUACAUUAAAUUUGGAUGCAAAAAAGGUGAAACAAAUGAAUGCGAUGCACUAGUGUCAAAAAAAAACAUGAACAUGAUGGUUACAGAUAGUGUACAUACCUUGUACCACGUCCGGAUCGGCGUCGGCAUCCUGCUGGGUGAGGUUGUAAGUCCUGCCCUGAAAUAGGAGGUCUUCCCUGAUUCUGGUUCCUUGGGCACUCUCUCGCAUAGUGUUGGCACUACCACAUAUGCGACAAGU